AAGGAACCCAAAGUCCUCUGGAUAUCUAAUAUGACAUCUUGACCAGAAAGAGCCCAGUCUGGACACUGCGGAGCCUUCCUGCAUGCUCCUCCUCAUCCUCCUGUAACUGGAAAUACGUGAUGACUUUGUGAUCGGCAGCUGAGAACAUGUGGUUAUCAGCACCCAGACUUUAACUUUUGCAAGGAAGUGACAUAGCAACCUGGCAAUGGGCUAUCAUUAAUUUGGGGGCUUCGUAUGGUGACUGAGGCUUUGAAUUAAAGGAGCAACUUCAAGGUACCUGAUUUCCCCACCACAUGACCCUGUCUCUUACCCACUCCCAAAGCAUAAGGAGGAGAUUUCUCUGAAGCUCUCUUCCCAGAUAGUAUACAAUUAUUAGGCAAUCUCAUUAACCAGGAAAGAUGAACCACCCAGAAAGAAAGAGGCAAGAGUGAUGUACCCGCAGGACACCGGCACCUGUGGACUUCUCAUUGGUUCUGAAGGCAGCUCCUAAGAGAUUGCAUGAUAGAUUUUAUCUGCAUAAUCAGACAACCUUGUUGGUGUCCAUGCUUCCCCUCCUUCUCUGCUGUACCUUGGGAUGUUAUUUAGGCUCAAUCAUCUGUCCUUCUCGGAGGCUUAUACUUUGUGUGGGAUCCCUGUGCUGAUUGCGUUUUCCCCUGUGUACGAUAAUAUGUGUAUCUUUUUUUUUCCUAUUUAAUCUGUUCAUUUCUGCCAAGUUUCAGAGGACCAAGGGGAAGUUUCUUUUUUGUCCCUGCCUUGGCAAAGAUGUGGGUUGGGCUCUGUGGAUUGUUCAUAUUGACCUCAAGCACCAGAGACAUACAUAAGCCAGGUCCAAGCAGAAUAGUGUGGGAGGGAAGAAAAGAUAUUACGGCACACAGAAGGUGAUAUAUCUAUGGAUGGUUAACCUACAAAUUAUGUGUUACUGGAAUCCUAGGCUAGAAGCCCAUCUCUGGGCAAUCUAAGAAAUCAGAUCCAGUGACUUGAUUCAAAAACCAAUCAGAAAAAUAAUGUUGAAAAGCAGGAAAGGAUUGAUGUAUCCACACCAGGAGGACAAGGGAAUCCAUGUCCUUUUCCCUGUCUUUGAGGGGCUUUUGAUGAUUUUGAGGUUUGACCCAGCUAUCCCCCUCCUCGGUCUAUUCUCUAAAGACCUAAAAAGAGCAUACUAUAGGGACACUGCUACAUCGAUGUUCAUAGCAGCACAAUUCACAAUAGCUAGACUGUGGAACCAACCUAGAUGCCCUUCAAUAGAUGAAUGGAUAAAAAAAAAUGUGGCAUUUAUACACAAUGGAGUAUUACUCUGCACUAAAGGAUGACAAAAUCGUGGAAUUUGCAGGGAAAUGGAUGUCAUUAGAGCAGACUAUGCUAAGUGAAGCUAGCCAAUCCCUAAAAAACAAAUGCCAAAUGUCUUCUUUGAUAUAAGGAGAGCAACUAAGAACAGAGUAGGGAGGAAGAGCAUGAGAAGAAGAUUAACAUUAAACAGGUAUGAGAGGGGGGAGGGAAAGGGAGAGAGAAGGGUAAUUGCAUGGAAAUGGAAGGAGACCCUCAUUGUUAUACAAAAUUACAUACAAGAGGAAUUGAGGGGAAAGGGGAGAAAAAAAAAACAAGGGGGAGAAAUGAAUUACAG
RNAcentral lists this long non-coding RNA (1621 nucleotides) under Marmota monax (woodchuck). The record is from RNAcentral. Lineage: Eukaryota; Metazoa; Chordata; Mammalia; Rodentia; Sciuridae.